GAUGAACGCUGGCGGUAUGCUUAACACAUGCAAGUCGAACGGACUCUUCGGAGUUAGUGGCGGACGGGUGAGUAACGCGUGAGAAUCUGGCUUUGGGUUCGGGACAACCACUGGAAACGGUGGCUAAUACCGGACGUGCCGAGAGGUAAAAGAGAAAUUGCCUGAAGAUGAGCUCGCGUCUGAUUAGCUAGUUGGUGAGGUAAAGGCUCACCAAGGCAGCGAUCAGUAGCUGGUCUGAGAGGAUGACCAGCCACACUGGGACUGAGACACGGCCCAGACUCCUACGGGAGGCAGCAGUGGGGAAUUUUCCGCAAUGGGCGAAAGCCUGACGGAGCAAUACCGCGUGAGGGAAGAAGGCUCUUGGGUUGUAAACCUCUUUUCUUAGGGAAGAACAAAAUGACGGUACCUAAGGAAUCAGCAUCGGCUAACUCCGUG
RNAcentral lists this ribosomal RNA (435 nucleotides) under uncultured bacterium. Its description in RNAcentral is "partial 16S ribosomal RNA". It matches the Rfam family "Bacterial small subunit ribosomal RNA", at positions 28 to 507 of the family's 1533-position model. The record is from RNAcentral.